This 81-nucleotide small RNA is filed under the name Flavobacterium pectinovorum. Its description in RNAcentral is "Flavo-1 RNA". It matches the Rfam family "Flavo-1 RNA". Lineage: Bacteria; Pseudomonadati; Bacteroidota; Flavobacteriia; Flavobacteriales; Flavobacteriaceae. The record is from RNAcentral.
AACUAGCCCCGAUUGCAGCGAAAAUCCUUUUAUUUUUUUUCUUUAAAAAAUAAAAGAUUGAAGUGAAAAGCGGGAAACCAU